RNAcentral lists this ribosomal RNA (497 nucleotides) under uncultured bacterium. RNAcentral describes it as "partial 16S ribosomal RNA". It matches the Rfam family "Bacterial small subunit ribosomal RNA", at positions 28 to 507 of the family's 1533-position model. The record is from RNAcentral.
GAUGAACGCUGGCGGCGUGCCUAAUACAUGCAAGUCGAGCGAACAGACGAGGAGCUUGCUCCUCUGACGUUAGCGGCGGACGGGUGAGUAACACGUGGAUAACCUACCUAUAAGACUGGGAUAACUUCGGGAAACCGGAGCUAAUACCGGAUAAUAUAUUGAACCGCAUGGUUCAAUAGUGAAAGACGGUUUUGCUGUCACUUAUAGAUGGAUCCGCGCCGCAUUAGCUAGUUGGUAAGGUAACGGCUUACCAAGGCAACGAUGCGUAGCCGACCUGAGAGGGUGAUCGGCCACACUGGAACUGAGACACGGUCCAGACUCCUACGGGAGGCAGCAGUAGGGAAUCUUCCGCAAUGGGCGAAAGCUUGACGGAGCAACACCGCGUGAGUGAUGAAGGUCUUCGGAUCGUAAAACUCUGUUAUUAGGGAAGAACAAAUGUGUAGGUAACUAUGCACGUCUUGACGGUACCUAAUCAGAAAGCCACGGCUAACUACGUG